CCUACGGGGUGCAGCAGUGGGGAAUAUUGGACAAUGGGCGAAAGCCUGAUCCAGCCAUGCCGCGUGUGUGAAGAAGGCCUUCGGGUUGUAAAGCACUUUCAGUGGGGAAGAAAGCCUUGGGGCUAAUACCCUCGAGGAAGGACAUCACCCACAGAAGAAGCACCGGCUAACUCCGUGCCAGCAGCCGCGGUAAUACGGAGGGUGCGAGCGUUAAUCGGAAUUACUGGGCGUAAAGCGCGCGUAGGCGGUCUGAUAAGCCGGUUGUGAAAGCCCUGGGCUCAACCUGGGAACGGCAUCCGGAACUGUCAGGCUAGAGUGCAGGAGAGGAAGGUAGAAUUCCCGGUGUAGCGGUGAAAUGCGUAGAGAUCGGGAGGAAUACCAGUGGCGAAGGCGGCCUUCUGGACUGACACUGACGCUGAGGUGCGAAAGCGUGGGUAGCAAACAGGAUUAGAUACCCGGGUAGUC
This 465-nucleotide ribosomal RNA is filed under the name Vreelandella stevensii. RNAcentral describes it as "partial 16S ribosomal RNA". It matches the Rfam family "Bacterial small subunit ribosomal RNA", at positions 338 to 795 of the family's 1533-position model. Lineage: Bacteria; Pseudomonadati; Pseudomonadota; Gammaproteobacteria; Oceanospirillales; Halomonadaceae. The record is from RNAcentral.